Molecule: long non-coding RNA, 709 nt
Organism: Drosophila elegans
Lineage: Eukaryota; Metazoa; Arthropoda; Insecta; Diptera; Drosophilidae
Exons: 3
Source: RefSeq, a predicted model, not a curated record
AGCCAAUGGCACUUCCUAGGACUCGAAUACUACAAACACUGCUCUCCUCAAAUAUGUUCUCGCGAAAUUAACGUGGAAAAAACGUAUGAUGAAAAAGAACGUCAAGUGAUUUGUUCAGCCAACUAUCUGGUAUUUCCUUAGGUAAUCAUGCGUGAUCACGUGCGCUGCGAAUUUUGGCCAGAAAGCGGAGCCAGAGGCAAAAGCACAUUAGCACAGGCGGCUCUGUUUGUCAUUUGAAUAUAUAAUGAACGAAUCGCUGCGACAAAAGAAGAGAGUCCAAUGGCGUUAAAUUGGGAGUGGAUAAGCUCUGGAGUUCAAAAUCAGCCAGCCGAAUUGGAGAAACCCCAAAGGAGGAAUAAAAUUAUAAUGGAAACUUUGGCACAAAUAAAAUCACUACCAUUCAGUACCUAUUAAUUUGUCAGCCUGCAAUUGGCAAACCCAAUUUGCCUGCAGCUUCGUUGAAGCGUAAAUGAAAACAAAACCAAAGCCGAAUUUAUGGCCAAAUGCAGCCAAUUGCGAACCAUUUUAAAGCCAACAAAAAGUGAACGAGGAAGGGGCGGGGAAACACAAAAGCCGGUUGGCCAAUACUCGCCAAAUCGGAUGCACUUUAAUGGGGCCUAUGUAUGAGUAAUAUAGUUGUUUUUCAACAAUUGUUUGAUUCUGUUAUUCUGAGUGAAGCAUGGAAAAUCAGAAAUUAGUUUAUAUUAUG